GAGUUUGAUCGUGGCUCAGAACGAACGCUGGCGGCAGGCUUAACACAUGCAAGUCGAACGAGCUGGGACCUUCGGGUCCCGAUGCUAGUGGCGCACGGGUGAGUAACACGUGGGAACGUACCCUUUAGUACGGAAUAACCCAGGGAAACUUGGGCUAAUACCGUAUGACUCCUUCGGGAGAAAGAUUUAUCGCUAAAGGAUCGGCCCGCGUCUGAUUAGGUAGUUGGUGAGGUAACGGCUCACCAAGCCUACGAUCAGUAGCUGGUCUGAGAGGAUGAUCAGCCACACUGGGACUGAGACACGGCCCACGACUCCUACGGGAGGCAGCAGUGGGGGAAUAUUGGACAAUGGGGGCGAACCCUGAUCCAGCCAUGCCGCGUGAGUGAAGAAGGCC
RNAcentral lists this ribosomal RNA (394 nucleotides) under uncultured Alphaproteobacteria bacterium. RNAcentral describes it as "bacterial SSU rRNA". It matches the Rfam family "Bacterial small subunit ribosomal RNA", at positions 9 to 416 of the family's 1533-position model. The record is from RNAcentral. Lineage: Bacteria; Pseudomonadati; Pseudomonadota; Alphaproteobacteria.